GGAUGUGAGGGCAAUCUGACUUUGAGAUCUGUCACCCCACUGAUCCUCAGGGUUGAUUCUGGCUGGCUAGGUGGGUGGCCCCUUCCUCAUUUAUCACUCCAUGUGCAGGUCUCCAAAGUUGUGUGCUCAAGGUCAAAGAGGACAGCCUUCCUGGAAUAGAGAUGGAUGGUCUGCGGUCUAGGGUAUAUGAGUAGCUGUGCUCCCCUCCUAUAACCUCCAAAUAAGCUCUCAAGGCCCAUUUGUAGGAGAAAGUAGGGUAGUCAAGCUUCCAAGUCUCCAGACACAUCCAAAUGAGGCGCUGCAUGUGACAGUCUGCCUUUCUAG
Molecule: small nuclear RNA, 324 nt
Filed under: Erinaceus europaeus (western European hedgehog)
Lineage: Eukaryota; Metazoa; Chordata; Mammalia; Eulipotyphla; Erinaceidae
Description: 7SK RNA
Rfam family: 7SK RNA
About the family: 7SK was discovered as an abundant small nuclear RNA in the mid-70s but a possible function has only recently been suggested. Two independent studies have found that 7SK RNA binds the CDK9/cyclin T complex (known as elongation factor P-TEFb). P-TEFb activates transcription by phosphorylating the C-terminal domain of RNA polymerase II.
Source: Rfam by way of RNAcentral